AUUGAACGCUGGCGGCAGGCCUAACACAUGCAAGUCGAGCGGAUGAAGGGAGCUUGCUCCUGGAUUCAGCGGCGGACGGGUGAGUAAUGCCUAGGAAUCUGCCUGGUAGUGGGGGAUAACGUCCGGAAACGGGCGCUAAUACCGCAUACGUCCUGAGGGAGAAAGUGGGGGAUCUUCGGACCUCACGCUAUCAGAUGAGCCUAGGUCGGAUUAGCUAGUUGGUGGGGUAAAGGCCUACCAAGGCGACGAUCCGUAACUGGUCUGAGAGGAUGAUCAGUCACCCUGGAACUGGAACACGGACCAGGCUCCUACGGGAGGCAGCAGUGGGGAAUAUUGGACAAUGGGCGAAAGCAUGAUCCAGCCAUGCCGCGUGUGUGAAGAAGGUCUUCGGAUUGUAAAGCACUUUAAGUUGGGAGGAAGGGCAGUAAGUUAAUACCUUGCUGUUUUGACGUUACCAACAGAAUAAGCACCGGCUAACUUCGUG
This 484-nucleotide ribosomal RNA is filed under the name uncultured bacterium. RNAcentral describes it as "partial 16S ribosomal RNA". It matches the Rfam family "Bacterial small subunit ribosomal RNA", at positions 30 to 507 of the family's 1533-position model. The record is from RNAcentral.